This 262-nucleotide small RNA is filed under the name Aplysia californica (California sea hare). RNAcentral describes it as "fulicin-like neuropeptide precursor". The record is from RNAcentral. Lineage: Eukaryota; Metazoa; Mollusca; Gastropoda; Aplysiida; Aplysiidae.
GCUGGUAACGAGCCCUGAAUACUGGACAAUACAACAGAGUUGGAGAAACAGAUGUGUGUAGCAUGAUGAAGUAGACACCGGUCAAGAGAGUAACACCACCGGAAACUGACCAUAGAAUUCCAAAAACUCUGUGUUCAAAAUAACUAGUGGCGGACUUUCACGAAAUCUGAUCUCCACACGUCGAAGAGCGAAUACCUGCAGUGACGAGCGUCGGUUUCCCUUCAACUCAUUCUUGUCAUUUUCAUCUUGAAGUGGUUCAGGU